Long non-coding RNA from Rhineura floridana, 2371 nucleotides. RefSeq lists it as uncharacterized. The transcript has 3 exons. Lineage: Eukaryota; Metazoa; Chordata; Lepidosauria; Squamata; Rhineuridae. The record is from RefSeq and is a predicted model, not a curated record.
CUACGCAAUGGCGAAAGGACCUCAUCCGGCUGAAGUCCCGCCUACCUUAACCUCACGGCGCCCUUAUGUCAUCACGCAGGCCCACUAACCCCGCCCCUCUCCUCCCAACCAUGCAGAAGACGUGGCUUCUCCUGGAAGAAGGAAGGGGGGCACGUGACCUGAACUCAGACCACUCGCGUCUAACUUCACGUGCUCAUAUUCAGUGGCUCUCCUGAAUCCAGACUUUCACCCGUUCCUUUCGUUGACAGACUUGCGUCUAGAGAGCAUGCGCAUGUCUUCAUCAAGUAGAACUCAAUCACAGGUUACCUGAAGCGCAUGCACGGAAUGGUAUCGCUCGUUUCAGACGCGGCUAGAGUUUUUCAGAGUCUCGCAACAAAUUGUUUUACUUCCUUGAGCUGACCUUGAGGUAUCGUAUGUGAGAUUCACUGGUGGUGCAAUCUUGCUGCCUCUCAGAGGAAAGGCAGGGGGAGAGAACCCGUAACAACAGGCGAUCUUUUGGAAUGAGACAAGAUGACCGUGGGGUUGUCUUCAGGAUUCACAGGAAUUAAAUCAAAACCAUUGUUUUUGCGCAACACUUUGAUGCGUGAUGAGCUCUGAUGUGGUACAAAUAAGGAACUGGGUGUGUUCACCCCAAAAUAAACUUGAGAAGACCCUCAAAUCAUGCUGUCCAGGAUUUCAACCAGGAAUCUUUUUCAGCCCCACUUGGAGAUGACAAGGAUUGAACAUGGGAUUAUGCAGGAUUUGCGGCACCUGUCAGACAUUUAAAUUUCCCUGUUGUGGAAAGAGGACAUGUGGGAUGACAAACCCCUUUCUGAGAGGAGAGCUUGGGGAGUGACAUACUGGAAUUACUCCAAUGGGUGCCUGGACUAACCCCAUAUAAACCCCACACUCACUUAAUAGUCCCUAGGAAUAAAGAAAGUGAUUUCUACCACUGGACAACCACUCUUCCUUGUGGACAUGAGAUCAGUCUUACAAGUCAUAGGAGCAUCUCAAAUUAUUAUUAUUUAAGGCAUUUAUAUACCGCUUUUCAGGAGGACCUCAAAAGCGGUUUACAUAAGAUUAUUACAAGAAGUAAUUUUUUUAAAGUUACAAUAAAAUGGAAAAAACAGCUUGGUUAAGAAGAAUCUGUUACUGCUUGAUGUCUCCCCUCAUGUCAAGAUGGCUCUGCUACAGAUGCCACUGAGGUGACAGUUGGGGGUACUGCAGAAUAUGAAGUGAGAACCCUUCAACAGAUAGGAGGUCUCAUGACCCUGGCUCAAUUAGGAAUGUCUCAUGCCAAAAUUUUGUGCCAAGCACAAUGCUAGGGUAUCUCUGAGAUGUAAUACUCUCCUGGAAGUGUGCUUACAUACACUGAGCAUUAUUACUAUGUGGACACUACAUUGUUUUAGUAAACUCAUGAAGUGUUGGGAGUGUUGCAGGGUGUUGCCAUAUCCUUCCACUUAAGUCGUUAGAAAUGUUUUGCAUAUUUAAAGUUCCUUGAUUUUUGGAGUGAAAAGUAAACACACCCACCACUGAUUCCACACACCAAUUGAGAGUUUUCCCAGCCUUCCCAUGAAUCAACAAAAGGGAGAUACAGAGCUGAGCAUCAUCACAUACUGAGCUGACUCCCUCCCAUAAUGCAUUUGGCAAUCUAGUAAAAAAGGGCAUUUCCAGACGUCAGAAGAUCCAAGUAAUGGAUGUGCCAUAUCAGCACACUUGAGACCAGCAAUCCAUAUGGCGAUUAUGUUGAUCCCUAUUAGGAUUACUGCCAGUCCAAAUAAAUUAGCAAGAUAUACAUAAGUGGCACAGCAACCAUUGUGCAUAACCAGCAAUGAUAACUCUAACCUUAUCAGGUUGGAGGGUACUUCUUUGCAGGGGUGCUUUUUCUCUUACUUCCUGUUUAGUGCUACCAGUAGUAGGGGAGGUGGCUGUCUUGAAGCACCCCAAGGAAUUACAUAGAUCCACAUAAUCCCAUGGUAAAGUAUUUCCAGUUUUCAGAAGUGAUUUACAUUCCAUGCCCUAUGUAACCUCUUCAUGUGGCUACUUGAAUGAAACAGGAUCAGUUCAGCCCCCUUCUGUGUUGCAUAUAUUGUGACUGGAGAGUACAACCACACAUCAACCACAAUGUAUAUUUCUUGGAAGGAAUCAAGAUUAAUUGAAUGAAGCAUGGGACAGUCUAAUAUGUAAGAAACAUUCUCUCCUCUUCUAGUUACACUCAUUAGUGGUAAGAAGAAAGAAAAAUCCAUUAGAAAAUGUUACUGAACAACAUUGCCCUCCUUUAUAUGUUAACUAUGAAUGAUUACAUUUUGGGCAAUUGUGGGCAUCAUUACAAUCUUGUUGAAUUAGCAAACUCCACACUAAACAUAGAGCUAUUCUGCACCAAAAAGGUCUA